CCUACGGGAGGCAGCAGUGGGGAAUAUUGCACAAUGGGGGAAACCCUGAUGCAGCGACGCCGCGUGAAGGAUGAAGUAUUUCGGUAUGUAAACUUCUAUCAGCAGGGAAGAAAAUGACGGUACCUGACUAAGAAGCCCCGGCUAACUACGUGCCAGCAGCCGCGGUAAUACGUAUGGUGCAAGCGUUAUCCGGAUUUACUGGGUGGAAAGGGAGCGCAGGCGGCGCGUUAAGCCUGGUGUGAAAGUCCGCGGCCCAACCGCGGGACUGCAUUGGGAACUGGCGCGCUGGAGUGCCGGAGGGGUAGGCGGAAUUCCUAGUGUAGCGGUGAAAUGCGUAGAUAUUAGGAGGAACACCAGUGGUGAAGGCGGCCUACUGGACGGUGACUGACGCUGAGGCUCGAAAGCGUGGGGAGCAAACAGGAUUAGAUACCCGGGUAGUC
This 440-nucleotide ribosomal RNA is filed under the name uncultured bacterium. Its description in RNAcentral is "partial 16S ribosomal RNA". It matches the Rfam family "Bacterial small subunit ribosomal RNA", at positions 338 to 795 of the family's 1533-position model. The record is from RNAcentral.